ACCGCUGGCCGGACCCCCAAGCUAGCCCGCCAGGCCUCCAUAGAGCUGCCCAGCAUGGCUGUGGCCAGUACCAAGAGUCGGUGGGAGACGGGUGAGGUACAGGCUCAGUCUGCGGCCAAGACUCCGUCCUGCAAG
This 135-nucleotide long non-coding RNA is filed under the name Pongo abelii (Sumatran orangutan). Its description in RNAcentral is "lincRNA". The record is from RNAcentral. Lineage: Eukaryota; Metazoa; Chordata; Mammalia; Primates; Hominidae.